This 492-nucleotide ribosomal RNA is filed under the name uncultured bacterium. RNAcentral's name for it is "partial 16S ribosomal RNA". It matches the Rfam family "Bacterial small subunit ribosomal RNA", at positions 29 to 507 of the family's 1533-position model. The record is from RNAcentral.
AGUGAACGCUGGCGGUAUGCCUAACACAUGCAAGUCGAACGGCAGCACAGUAAGAGCUUGCUCUUACGGGUGGCGAGUGGCGGACGGGUGAGGAAUACAUCGGAAUCUACUUUUUCGUGGGGGAUAACGUAGGGAAACUUACGCUAAUACCGCAUACGACCUACGGGUGAAAGCAGGGGAUCUUCGGACCUUGCCCGAUUGUAUGAGCCGAUGUCGGAUUAGCUAGUUGGCGGGGUAAAGGCCCACCAAGGCGACGAUCCGUAGCUGGUCUGAGAGGAUGAUCAGCCACACUGGAACUGAGACACGGUCCAGACUCCUACGGGAGGCAGCAGUGGGGAAUAUUGGACAAUGGGCGCAAGCCUGAUCCAGCCAUGCCGCGUGGGUGAUGAAGGCCUUCGGGUUGUAAAGCCCUUUUGUUGGGAAAGAAAAGCAGCAGGUUAAUACCCCGCUGUUCUGACGGUACCCAAAGAAUAAGCACCGGCUAACUUCGUG